CUGGCGGCAGGCCUAACACAUGCAAGUCGAACGAACUCUUCGGAGUUAGUGGCGGACGGGUGAGUAACACGUGGGAACGUGCCUUUAGGUUCGGAAUAACUCAGGGAAACUUGUGCUAAUACCGAAUGUGCCCUUCGGGGGAAAGAUUUAUCGCCUUUAGAGCGGCCCGCGUCUGAUUAGCUAGUUGGUAGUGUAAUGGACUACCAAGGCGACGAUCAGUAGCUGGUCUGAGAGGAUGAUCAGCCACAUUGGGACUGAGACACGGCCCAAACUCCUACGGGAGGCAGCAGUGGGGAAUCUUGCGCAAUGGGCGAAAGCCUGACGCAGCCAUGCCGCGUGAAUGAUGAAGGUCUUAGGAUUGUAAAAUUCUUUCACCGGGGACGAUAAUGACGGUACCCGGAGAAGAAGCCCCGGCUAACUUCGUGCCAGCAGCCGCGGUAAUACGAAGGGGGCUAGCGUUGCUCGGAAUUACUGGGCGUAAAGGGAGCGUAGGCGGACAUUUAAGUCAGGGGUGAAAUCCCGGGGCUCAACCUCGGAAUUGCCUUUGAUACUGGGUGUCUUGAGUAUGAGAGAGGUGUGUGGAACUCCGAGUGUAGAGGUGAAAUUCGUAGAUAUUCGGAAGAACACCAGUGGCGAAGGCGACACACUGGCUCAUUACUGACGCUGAGGCUCGAAAGCGUGGGGAGCAAACAGGAUUAGAUACCCUGGUAGUCCACGCCGUAAACGAUGAUUGCUAGUUGUCGGGAUGC
Molecule: ribosomal RNA, 749 nt
Filed under: Caulobacteraceae bacterium
Lineage: Bacteria; Pseudomonadati; Pseudomonadota; Alphaproteobacteria; Caulobacterales; Caulobacteraceae
Description: bacterial SSU rRNA
Rfam family: Bacterial small subunit ribosomal RNA
Source: RNAcentral